GCAUCAUCCCGGGGAAGACCCUCGCUAUUCACGGAGUGGGGCCCACACCUGUGACGGUACCGGUAGCCCGUGCCCCCGUCGUGUGGAACGACUGUGCAACGUACCUGGAAAUGGGGGGUGUGGAGACGGCGCUGACGAGGGGACGUGGGAGCAGCCUGCAGACACCGAAGGGCUGCUGCAGGGAAGGAGGAAAGUGUUUUCUCCCUUGGUGCUGAGAGGAGGUCACAGACCCGUGGCUUGACGUUUGGAUCGGGGAUACAGGAACACAUCUUCAGUGUCGGAGCAGCGCGGCUGUAGGCCACAUGCCGGGGAGUGGGGGACACUCCGGCACUGGAGGGCUCAGCAGAGGGGGACAGCCGCUGGCCGGGGCGGGCUCGCUGCAGCGAUGCCCGUGCUCUGCGGGGGGGCUCCCAGGCCUCGGGGCUGGGCUGGUCCCCCCCACCCCGGGUCCAGACCCCUUGCUGCUACAUGUGUCGGGGGGUUAAGCCUCCCUGAGUACUGCUGGGUGUUGGCUAGAGCCGGGCUGGGCUGGGCCUGCGCUCCUGCGGGGACCAAAGCCAGAGGGUUGUGGCUGGAGGGCGAGAGGACAAUCUGGGAAAAAAACUAGGAAGCUGGGCUGACCUAAACCCCGAACAUUUGAUUAUAUUUAGAAAAAGCACCCAGACAGAAAUCCGAGGAUGCACAAAGACGACGUGUUUGGGAAAACCCGGCUGUAUGGUAACCCUAAUAUGUCCCCAAUAGAUCUCCCCGCGGAAGGAGAGGACCUUUCCCUUGAUCCCUGCUGGCAGAAGGCCAGUACUUGACCUGGCAAAGGAUUAUGGUUGCGUUGUUCAAUUAAACUCUGUUUAAGCCUG
Molecule: long non-coding RNA, 854 nt
Organism: Alligator mississippiensis (American alligator)
Lineage: Eukaryota; Metazoa; Chordata; Crocodylia; Alligatoridae
Exons: 2
Source: RefSeq, a predicted model, not a curated record